CCUUGUCCUUAGUUGCCAGCACGUAAUGGUGGGAACUCUAAGGAGACUGCCGGUGACAAACCGGAGGAAGGUGGGGAUGACGUCAAGUCAUCAUGGCCCUUACGGCCAGGGCUACACACGUACUACAAUGGUCGGUACAGAGGGUUGCAAUACCGCGAGGUGGAGCCAAUCCCAGAAAGCCGAUCUCAGUCCGGAUCGGAGUCUGCAACUCGACUCCGUGAAGUCGGAAUCGCUAGUAAUCGCGAAUCAGCAUUGUCGCGGUGAAUACGUUCCCGGGCCUUGUACACACCGCCCGUCACACCAUGGGAGUGGGUUGCUCCAGAAGCAGGUAGUCUAACCGCAAGGGGGACGCUUGCCACGGAGUGGUUCAUGACUGGGGUGAAGUCGUAACAAGGUACCGUAUCGGAAGGUGCGGCUGGAUCA
This 423-nucleotide ribosomal RNA is filed under the name gamma proteobacterium W-2007. Its description in RNAcentral is "bacterial SSU rRNA". It matches the Rfam family "Bacterial small subunit ribosomal RNA", at positions 1103 to 1525 of the family's 1533-position model. The record is from RNAcentral. Lineage: Bacteria; Pseudomonadati; Pseudomonadota; Gammaproteobacteria.